AGCGAACUUCUUUUUU
Molecule: unclassified non-coding RNA, 16 nt
Filed under: Latilactobacillus sakei
Lineage: Bacteria; Bacillati; Bacillota; Bacilli; Lactobacillales; Lactobacillaceae
Description: Lactobacillus sakei ctRNA_pT181
Source: RNAcentral